This 835-nucleotide long non-coding RNA is filed under the name Phoenix dactylifera (date palm). RNAcentral's name for it is "long non-coding RNA (PDAC_LNC009318)". The record is from RNAcentral. Lineage: Eukaryota; Viridiplantae; Streptophyta; Magnoliopsida; Arecales; Arecaceae.
AUAAGGUGACACAUAUCUCGUGUGUUGAUGUAGGGUUCAUAAAAUAUAGAAAAUUAAGGAUUUUUAGUGAAGUACAAUUUUUUUUUAAAAGAAGAAAUUAAGGAGAAAAGAAAAAAAAGGGAGCCUCAAGGAAAGAGUCUGGUGACGGUGGAAUUUGAGGGAUUUGUGUUGCCGGCGCCACUAUGAGUAGGGGAUACAUGCAUUGAUGUGUGGUCAUAAAAUAUAAAAAAUUAGGUUUUUUUAGUUGAAGUAUAAUUUUCUUUUAAAGAAGAAAUUAAGGAUUGUACCAAAAAAGGAAGAAGAAAUUAAGGAGAAAAGAAAAAAGAGAGCCUGAAGAGAAGAGUCGGGUGAUGGUGGAAUUUGAGGGAUUCAUAUCGGAGGCUCCAUGUGAGUAGGGGAUACAUGCAAAAAUAGAUAAGACAACAAAUUGGUGGAGAGUCGCAAUCAGGACCGUCAAAUUGUGAAAGAGAUGGGGUUACAGGUUACGCCAACUUGGACACCGGUCAUCAAUCUAUUAGACCCCAUUAGAAUCAUGGUGUGUAUGUUGGAAUAAUGUGGAUGGACCAACGAUUAAUUGGAUUGUCCAGAUCUCUCGUCACAAAAAGAUUGUCUUUAAAACUUUGUUUGAUUUAUGUGACUUUAGAAAGACUUUAGGAAAAUGAUGCAUAUCUCGUGUGUUGAUAUAGGGAUCGUAAAAUAUAGAAAAUUUGGUUUUUUAGUUGAAGUACGAAGUUUUAUUUUUAAAGAACGUAAGGAGAAAAGAAAAGAAAGAGACCCUAAGAGAAGAAUCGGGUGAUGGUGAAUUUAGGGGAUUCGUGUUGGAGGCGCCACUAUA